AAUGUUUUUUAAUCGGGUCGGAUUAGGUGCGGUUUUGACAUCUCCACGUUGUCAAAUGUUUAAUUAACCAUGCUCAAACUUUAAGCCAAUAAAUAAAAGAUGAUUCGCAAAUGCAAAAUACCCGCCAACUUGAUGUUACAGUUCAAAUUCAAUAGUGUACAUCUAAGCGAUAAGUUAUUGCUCAUUCCAACUCUGAUUAUGCAAAUUUUACAUCUCAACGAUUUUUGCCUCUUUUUCGUUCAUCGGUACCAUGCCAUGAAGAAGGCAGACCAUGGAUAUAAACUGACCCCGGCUUAAGGAAUCGCCAACAAAUAGCAUUCUCUUUCCCCGGAUGGCCUCCAACAUUAAGGUUGCAUUAAAUCUGGAAGCUUUCAUUUAGUAUGUGCAAAUCAACACAAACUCGAAAACAUAGCUUAAGUGUAUGCACAUUGAUUUGACAACACCAUUUCUCUGCUCUCUCAGGUGUGAAAAGAUUUUUAUCCAGGGACUACUAAGUACUAACCAAGAGAGGGAGGGGGGUCAUUGAGUGCCGGAAAUUGCUGUUGAUGAUGAAAAGGC
Long non-coding RNA from Chenopodium quinoa (quinoa), 558 nucleotides. RefSeq lists it as uncharacterized. The record is from RefSeq and is a predicted model, not a curated record. NCBI's taxonomy places the organism in Eukaryota, Viridiplantae, Streptophyta, Magnoliopsida, Caryophyllales, Amaranthaceae. The transcript has 3 exons.